AAGGAUCAUUAUCGAGUUUUGACUGGGUUGUAGCUGGCCUUCCGAGGCAUGUGCACGCCCUGCUCAUCCACUCUACACCUGUGCACUUACUGUGGGUUUUACGGGUCGUGAAAUKGGCUCGUUCAUUCGGGCUUGUUGAGCGCACUUGUUGCCUGCGUUUAUCACAAACUCCAUAAAGUAUUAGAAUGUGUAUUGCGAUGUAACGCAUCUAUAUACAACUUUCAGCAACGGAUCUCUUGGCUCUCGCAUCGAUGAAGAACGCAGCGAAAUGCGAUAAGUAAUGUGAAUUGCAGAAUUCAGUGAAUCAUCGAAUCUUUGAACGCACCUUGCGCUCCUUGGUAUUCCGAGGAGCAUGCCUGUUUGAGUGUCAUGAAAUCUUCAAUCUACAAGCUUCUUAUGGGAGUUUGUAGGCUUGGACUUGGAGGCUUGUCGGUCCUUUACAGGUCGGCUCCUCUCAAAUGCAUUAGCUUGGUUCCUUGCGGAUCGGCUUGUCGGUGUGAUAAUGUCUACGCCGGGACCGUGAAGCGUGUUUGGGCGAGCUUCUAACCGUCUCGUUACGGAGACAACUUUAUGACCUCUGACCUCAAAUCAGGUAGGACUACCCGCUGAACUUAA
RNAcentral lists this ribosomal RNA (615 nucleotides) under Ganoderma lobatum. RNAcentral's name for it is "eukaryotic LSU rRNA". The record is from RNAcentral. Lineage: Eukaryota; Fungi; Basidiomycota; Agaricomycetes; Polyporales; Polyporaceae.